This is a long non-coding RNA of Carassius gibelio (silver crucian carp), 856 nucleotides long. RefSeq lists it as uncharacterized. The record is from RefSeq and is a predicted model, not a curated record. The transcript has 7 exons. Lineage: Eukaryota; Metazoa; Chordata; Actinopteri; Cypriniformes; Cyprinidae.
GCGGCAGCCCAACCGUCAAGCAGCUGAUCGCUGACACUCAAUGUGGUUUCACUUUUUUUUAGAAAUGGUUUAGCGUCGUCAGAAAAAGUCCGUUAGCAUCUCAAAGAAGUGCCAGAAAAAAAACAUCUAUGACACAGGAGAAGUUCCUGAUUUUAACAUUUCUGAAGGGAGCUUCUGACAGAGAGGAUGAAAACAUACACAUUUUGAUGUCCACGCUGUAGGAGCAUUACUACAUAAGUUCUUCCAUGCUGAUGGCUGUGCUCUAGUCAUAUCUCCUGUCGAAGAACAUUUUUAGACCUUAUGAACCAUGAAUAAGUUUAGCUCCAACCCCAGUUAAGCAGACCUGAGCAGCUGAUCAAGGAUCAGCAGAAACUCUGCAGAACGGUGGUCCUUCAGCCCAGGACUGGACACCAGUGUUGAGUGUCUGUCUCAGAAGCUGAAGAAAAAAGGCCACACCUUAUAGGAAAUAAACGCCCCCUAAGUGUACGGAAAUACCUGGCUGAGGAGAUCAGUGACACGAACCAGAUAAAACUGUCAGUGGUAAGUGUUUACAUAUCCAUAUCCGAAUGGAAUUGCUACAACCUCUUAUCUAAUAUGACUCGAAGUCUGAGACAGCUACAAGCCACAAAAACAGUUCAUAGUUCCUGCAUUUCUAUUAAUGCAUUAAUGAAUAACAAUAAUUAAAAUAAAAUGUAAUGUCAAGGUUUUGUGUUAAUUCCAGCUAUGUUGAGUAUUCUGUGAAUAAUUUUGAUUUUAUGUGCAUAUUCUUAAUUCUUUGCAAAACAACCUGAACUGUUUGCUAUUGAAAGGUUGGUAUGAAGUUUAAAUAAAUAAAAAAAUUAUAUUCUUGACAAAA